AAAACUUUCAACAACGGAUCUCUUGGUUCCAGCAUCGAUGAAGAACGCAGCGAAAUGCGAUAACUAAUGUGAAUUGCAGAAUUCAGUGAAUCAUCGAAUCUUUGAACGCACAUUGCGCCCCUUGGUAUUCCGAGGGGCAUGCCUGUUCGAGCGUCAUUACACCCCUCAAGCGUAGCUUGGUAUUGGGUCUCGUCCCUGAGGCGUGCCCGAAAGUCAGUGGCGGUCCGGCGUGACUUUAAGCGUAGUAAAAUUU
Molecule: ribosomal RNA, 253 nt
Filed under: Cetrelia sp. HYK-2005
Lineage: Eukaryota; Fungi; Ascomycota; Lecanoromycetes; Lecanorales; Parmeliaceae
Description: partial 5.8S ribosomal RNA
Rfam family: 5.8S ribosomal RNA (bases 3-156)
About the family: 5.8S ribosomal RNA (5.8S rRNA) is a component of the large subunit of the eukaryotic ribosome. It is transcribed by RNA polymerase I as part of the 45S precursor that also contains 18S and 28S rRNA. Functionally, it is thought that 5.8S rRNA may be involved in ribosome translocation.
Source: RNAcentral